AUUGAACGCUGGCGGCAUGCCUUACACAUGCAAGUCGAACGGCAGCGCGGGUGCUGGCACCUGGUGGCGAGUGGCGAACGGGUGAGUAAUACAUCGGAACAUGUCCUGUAGUGGGGGAUAGCCCGGCGAAAGCCGGAUUAAUACCGCAUACGAUCCACGGAUGAAAGCGGGGGACCUUCGGGCCUCGCGCUAUAGGGUUGGCCGAUGGCUGAUUAGCUAGUUGGUGGGGUAAAGGCCUACCAAGGCGACGAUCAGUAGCUGGUCUGAGAGGACGACCAGCCACACUGGGACUGAGACACGGCCCAGACUCCUACGGGAGGCAGCAGUGGGGAAUUUUGGACAAUGGGCGAAAGCCUGAUCCAGCAAUGCCGCGUGUGUGAAGAAGGCCUUCGGGUUGUAAAGCACUUUUGUCCGGAAAGAAAUCCUUGACUCUAAUACAGUCGGGGGAUGACGGUACCGGAAGAAUAAGCACCGGCUAACUACGUG
RNAcentral lists this ribosomal RNA (486 nucleotides) under uncultured bacterium. RNAcentral describes it as "partial 16S ribosomal RNA". It matches the Rfam family "Bacterial small subunit ribosomal RNA", at positions 30 to 507 of the family's 1533-position model. The record is from RNAcentral.